UUCCUACUACUCCUGCUACUACAACUCCUGCUACUACAACUCCUGUUCCUACUACUCCUGCUACAGCUACCUAUACUACUGCUGCUUUUGCUACUGAUACUUUUCCUCCGUAUACUACUGCUGCUUAUGCUACUGAUACUUUUCCUCCGUAUACUACUGCUGCUUAUGCUACUUAUACUUUUCCUACUGCUGCUACUGCUGCUUAUGCUACUGAUACGUUUCCUACUGCUGCUACUACUGCUUUCGCUACUGCUCUUGCACCUACUACUGCUCCUGCCACUCUUACUCCUGCCAAAACCAACAGCCGACAAAAUCAAAAUGCAACAAGAAUAUACAUGCGGAUGAAGAUAAACAGCAGUGAGAAUUUGUCAGACGCUACAGUGAUGGAGAACUUCCUCGAGAAGAUUAAAAACUCCAGCGCAGAGUUUUCAAGGUUACAUCUUACAUGGACUCUCCAACCACGAAUGAUGGAAAAUAAACAUAAACCAUGGGUGUCUAAAAUGUGUCCCAAGUACACCUGGUGAAGGAUAAGAAAAGGAAAGGAAAGGAAAGAAAAAGUAGUUGUUUAACUUCGGUGGGUGAUGGGGGGGAUAAAAAUGUGAGCACCUUUUAGCAUAUGUCUUCGGUGUUUGGGAAUACUGUACAUUUAGCUAUCUUGUAGUAUGUACGUUUAUUUACUACAUCGGAUUUGUUUUCUGAGAUAAAAUUUGAGAGGAAACAAUGUUAUCCGUUGACACUCAUGGAGGACACAAUAUUUGAGGUUUUGCACCUUCUUUCCUCAAAAAACCCAAUAUAAAGUACUGGUAGUCCCCGACCUAGGAUGGAGAUGCUUUCCGAUGACCCCAUCAUAGCUUGAAAAUAUCCCACUUUGAGAUGGCCCAGCCUACCCAGGAGUCUUAAAGAAAGGUGUAUCAGUAUGGGGUAGUAUACUGUAAUUUGUGAACAAUUUUACAAAUUAAAGUACAUAAUAAAACAAAAAUACAGAGCAAUUUACAGUACAGUAAUGUAUAAACUUUACAGUAUAUAUUGUAUGUGUGUGGCAGUGGGCACAUGGACAGUUCGUGAGUUGAGGGCGGAGCCGAACAAAAAGAGUGUUGAUAUAACGCAUAAAAAUAUGCACUCUAACACCGUCGACCGCUGGCGAGAGUAAGGCAUCUCAGAACGUAUCGUACCACAUAUGCUGCUACAUUUGCCUGCUGCACAAAACAAAAUAUUUUCCCAAUUUUGCCAUAUUGCUUUCAUCAUUGUAAGAUCGAAAAAUCCUAAAAUCAAACCAGAUCGUAACUCAGGGACUACCUGUAAUUUCUAAUAUACUGGGACAUCAGAAUCUUCAGGCCUAAUAAGUGAUAAGUCAAACUUUACUUAGAAUUUGGAGUUGAACUGAUGACAAUAACAAUCUUUAAUUAAGCAUAAAAUUGUAUUUUAUUAUUUGUUUUCAUCGGUUGAAAUUAUCAUUAAGAAAAAAACCUGUGAUUGUCAUUAAUGCUGUAAGAUAUGAAUAAAAAAAUGGUAGAAAUGUUAAAAUGUGUAUAUGUAGCCAUUUUCUUUGUGUAUUAUAUUCAUAGAAUAUUAGAAUAAAGGGAUUAUUAAACUUUUUCAAAGCCUGUUAUUGAAAUUUGUGCCACGCUUAUUAGUAUACUUAAUGAAAAUAAAGGUUAAAACCAAUGAAAUG
Silurus meridionalis is the source of this 1672-nucleotide long non-coding RNA. RefSeq lists it as uncharacterized. The transcript is spliced from 3 exons. The record is from RefSeq and is a predicted model, not a curated record. Lineage: Eukaryota; Metazoa; Chordata; Actinopteri; Siluriformes; Siluridae.